Cervus hanglu yarkandensis (Yarkand deer) is the source of this 143-nucleotide small nuclear RNA. Its record names the gene U4. It matches the Rfam family "U4 spliceosomal RNA". From Rfam's summary of the family: U4 small nuclear RNA (U4 snRNA) is a component of the major U2-dependent spliceosome. The structure of U4 snRNA from yeast and human has been reported. The record is from Ensembl. Lineage: Eukaryota; Metazoa; Chordata; Mammalia; Artiodactyla; Cervidae.
AGCUUUGCGUAGUGGCAGUAUCGUAGCCAAUGAGGUUUGUCCAAGGCGCGAUUACUGUUAAUUGAAAAAAAUAAAAGAAUCUGAAUAAAUGACAGAUAUUAUUCAGUUGACAAAGGGGAAAGUCAUGACCAUAGCUGCUGCUG